GACGAACGCUGGCGGCGUGCUUAACACAUGCAAGUCGAACGGAAAGGCCCUGCUCUUGUGGUGUGCUCGAGUGGCGAACGGGUGAGUAACACGUGAGUAACCUCCCCUUGACUUUGGGAUAACUUCAGGAAACUGGGGCUAAUACCGGAUAGGAGCUCCUGCUGAAUGGGGGGGGUUGGAAAGUUUCGGCGGUUGGGGAUGGACUCGCGGCUUAUCAGCUUGUUGGUGGGGUAGUGGCUUACCAAGGCUUUGACGGGUAGCCGGCCUGAGAGGGUGACCGGCCACAUUGGGACUGAGAUACGGCGCAGACUCCUACGGGAGGCAGCAGUGGGGAAUAUUGCACAAUGGGCGGAAGCCUGAUGCAGCAGCGCCGCGUGCGGAAUGACGGCCUUCGGGUUGUGAACCGCUUUCGCCUGUGACGAAGCGUGAGUGACGGUAAUGGGUAAAGAAGCACCGGCUAACUACGUG
This 468-nucleotide ribosomal RNA is filed under the name uncultured bacterium. Its description in RNAcentral is "partial 16S ribosomal RNA". It matches the Rfam family "Bacterial small subunit ribosomal RNA", at positions 28 to 507 of the family's 1533-position model. The record is from RNAcentral.